This 299-nucleotide ribosomal RNA is filed under the name Aliarcobacter butzleri. RNAcentral describes it as "partial 23S ribosomal RNA". It matches the Rfam family "Bacterial large subunit ribosomal RNA", at positions 1607 to 1891 of the family's 2925-position model. The record is from RNAcentral. Lineage: Bacteria; Pseudomonadati; Campylobacterota; Epsilonproteobacteria; Campylobacterales; Arcobacteraceae.
GCCAAGAAAAGCCACUAAGUUUAUUAUAUGUUGCCCGUACCGUAAACCGACACAGGUGGGUGGGAUGAGUAUUCUAAGGCGCGUGGAAGAACCCUCUUUAAGGAACUCUGCAAAAUAGCACCGUAUCUUCGGUAUAAGGUGUGCCUACUUUGGUAUAUGAACUUGCUUCAAAAAGCUAGAGAGGUUGCAACAAAGAGUCCCUCCCGACUGUUUACCAAAAACACAGCACUUUGCUAACACGUAAGUGGAUGUAUAAGGUGUGACGCCUGCCCGGUGCUCGAAGGUUAAUUGAUGAUGUC